GCUGGGUGUGGUGGCGGGCGCCUGUAGUCCCAGCUACUCAGGAGGCUGAGGCAGGAGAAUCACUUGAACCCAGGAGGCAGAGGUUGCAGUGAGCCGAGAUCACACCACUGCACUCCAACCUGGGUGACAGAGUGAGACUCUGUCUCAA
This 148-nucleotide non-coding RNA is filed under the name Gorilla gorilla gorilla (western lowland gorilla). Lineage: Eukaryota; Metazoa; Chordata; Mammalia; Primates; Hominidae. The record is from Rfam by way of RNAcentral.